Cyprinus carpio (common carp) is the source of this 2220-nucleotide long non-coding RNA. RefSeq lists it as uncharacterized. The transcript is spliced from 7 exons. The record is from RefSeq and is a predicted model, not a curated record. Lineage: Eukaryota; Metazoa; Chordata; Actinopteri; Cypriniformes; Cyprinidae.
AAAGGUGAUAUGGCUUCUGAUCUUUUUCACUCAGGUGGAUCAGGUCAGCGAAAGUUGAAUGUUGUUGCACCAGAAGCGAAAGGAUACACAGGAUCCUACCUCAUUAAAACAUUGGAUUUUAUGGAUUCAUCUUUGGCAGUGACGGAUGUCAAGAUGUGAAGGUACACUAAACAUGGAUUUGAAUAUUCCAGAGCAAAAGCAAGACAAGCAGAAGAGGUGGUCUUGCUCUUGUAGAUCGAGACAGCAGACACUACAGCAUUGCUUGACAUCUCUGAAAGACUGGUAGCAUGUGGAUACACUGGACCGCUAACAUCUGACAGAAAGGAGGACAUUGUCAGUGCUGUUGUCCUCUGUAUGAAUCCUUCCAAUGCUGCCGCAGAUGUGCAAAGGAUUGGAACUCCAUGGCCUUCAUGAAAUUAUGAAAAAAGCCGUUAUUUGUUCCUGGACAUUUUGAAAAACAGCCCGAUGCAGAUUUCCUCACAAUGGCCCUCUCACCCAUUUUAAGUGAGAUGGGUUCAGUGAAGCAGAGGGAAUCACAAAUUAUUUAACCAUUUAUGAGACUUCAUUCAGAGCCUUGAAGAUGAAGAAGAAGGAAGCACUAGUGCAGAGCACAGAGGUGAGGAUGACAACGAACGAACAUCUAAAUCAGAGGACUGCACCCACGGAGAUGAACAACAAGACAAGAAUACUGUCAGCAGCUUCAUGCAGUGGCUGACUGGUCAGGGACACGUGCCCAUUACAUCCACACAGAGAGAAACAUUCAACAUACGUGUAGAAUUUGAUCACGACUGUCAGUUGCAAUAUGGUCAACACAGUUUGUGCCGCCCUCUCGUUAAUGCAUGCUCCUGUACCAUCACCUUAGGGACCUACAAAGAGUUUCUUUGCUUUAUGCGACAGGCUGUGAUCAAAAGUAAAGAAUUUGGUCGUUCAUGAGAUGAAUUCUCAGUGUAGUGUUUACUUCAUAUGCUGUUUACGCUGUUAUACUCUUAUCAGUUUGUAAAAAAACAGUUUUCAGAUGUUCAGCUGUAGUUUAUUUCUUUAUAAUCGUUUAGUUCAUUACGGGCAUGUAUUGAUUGCUGGCAGAUUGUUACAAAUUCAAUUCAGAAAUGAAGAGAAAGGUAUAUUUAUUUACAGUCAACUUAAAUGAGUGUUGAAGUCAAAAAACAAUGCAAUUAAAACAGCUGAGAUGAUUUAUUAUUAUUAAAUGUAAAAUACUUUGUUACUUCGGUGACAUUAAAAAGCUACCUACAGAUGUACUGGUCAAAAAAGUCACAAACUAUAUUAUAAACAAUAUUUUAUUGCACCACUUUUAGGUUUGAUUAUGGUGUGUUUUUGUCAUAGCUUUGUUUUCACAACUAUAAGUAACCAAACUGUAACACUAAAAUAUCAGUGAGGUUACAAUGCAAUGUCACAAACUUUAUUUCCAUCAUGAGUAAAAUUACUCCAGACUUGCAGUGAGCUUCAGGUAAAUAGGUGGUAAAUUCAUGUGUGAAAAUUAAGCCUUCCAAAACUUGUUCCUGAUUAACCUUACAUUUCCAUCCUAGAAUAUGACCAUGGGAUACAUCUUUCAACAUGGUGGUGUCCAAAUAACUGUUGCCAAACAUAUAAAAAGCCAGAAAAAUACUAAUACUUUAUACUAUAAUACUAUAAGGCUUAUAAUAAUUUUAGGGGUAUAAAUCAAUAUAUAAAAACAUGUCAAUAGAUUGUGAUUUUUUUGGCUUGUGAUUUAGAAAAUCAAAUCUUUUUGUAAUUUUGACAAAACAUAUAUCGUUGGAAAUGUCUGAGAGUCAAGGUUCCAUAUUUGGUGACUGUUUUGCAAUAGAAGUGAUAUUGUGACAGAAACCUGCUUAAGGGUGUUGUGUUUGGUUAUUUUUGGUAUAGUGCCCUUUCAAAAUUUGCUGCAACUUCUCCUGUGUGUGGCUAGUGCAGAGAGGAGUUUUUCAAAUCUGAAGCUCAUUAAACAUACCUGAGGUCUACAAUGACACAGCACCUGCUCAAUGGCCUGGCCAUGAUGAGCAUAAACAGGCACGUUUCCAGGCAGCUGUCCUAUGAUGACAUUAAUGACAAUUUUGCAGCAAUUAAGUCUAGGUGUGUCCAGUUUUAAAGCUAUUGGACAGGUGAGGUUACUCACUUUCAUAUCAUCAAUUUAAAAUUGAUAGGCAAGCUAAUAUCUGUGAGUAAUGCAUAGUUGAUAAUAGUAAAUUCUUACUGCUAAAUUCU